Molecule: ribosomal RNA, 1537 nt
Filed under: uncultured bacterium
Lineage: Bacteria
Description: bacterial SSU rRNA
Rfam family: Bacterial small subunit ribosomal RNA
Source: RNAcentral
AGAGUUUGAUCCUGGCUCAGGACGAACGCUGGCGGCGCGUCUUAAGCAUGCAAGUCGGACGGCAAGAGAAGUGCUUGCACUUCUCCUAGAGUGGCGGACUGGUGAGUAACAGGUGGGUGACAUACCCUUCAGAUGGGGAUAGCCGGUAGAAAUACCGGGUAAUACCGAAUACGCUCGUGCAUCUCGGAAGUGUACGAGGAAAGGAGCUACGGCUUCGCUGUUGGAUUGGCCCGCUUCCCAUUAGCUAGUUGGUGAGGUAAUGGCCCACCAAGGCUAUGAUGGGUAUCCGGCCUGAGAGGGUGAUCGGACACAUUGGGACUGAGAUACGGCCCAGACUCCUACGGGAGGCAGCAGCUAAGAAUAUUCCGCAAUGGACGAAAGUCUGACGGAGCGACGCCGCGUGGAUGAUGAAGGCCGGAAGGUUGUAAAAUCCUUUAGCAAGUGAGGAAUAAGCAGAGCAGGGAAUGGCUCUGUGGUGACUGUAGCUUGAGAAUAAGCAUCGGCUAAUUACGUGCCAGCAGCCGCGGUAACACGUAAGAUGCUAGCGUUGUUCGGAAUUAUUGGGCGUAAAGGGCAUGUAGGCGGUUAUUCAAGUCUGGUGUGAAAUCUCGGAGCUUAACUCCGAAACUGCAUUGGAAACUAGAUAACUAGAAUUGCUGAGGGGAAGCCGGAAUUCCAGGUGUAGGGGUGAAAUCUGUAGAGAUCUGGAAGAACACCAAUGGCGAAGGCAGGCUUCUAGCAGAUAAUUGACGCUGAGGUGCGAAGGGACGGGGAGCAAACAGGAUUAGAUACCCUGGUAGUCCGUCCAGUAAACUAUGUACACUAGAUGUCCGGGCAGGAGCUCGGGUGUCGCAGCAAACGCUUUAAGUGUACCGCCUGGGAAGUAUGCCCGCAAGGGUGAAACUCAAAGGAAUUGACGGGGGCCCGCACAAGCGGUGGAUUAUGUGGUUUAAUUCGAUGGUACGCGAGGAACCUUACCUGGGUUUGACAUAUAGUGGAAUUGUGUAGAGAUACGCAAGCGUAGCAAUACGUCGCUAUACAGGUGCUGCAUGGCUGUCGUCAGCUCGUGCCGUGAGGUGUUGGGUUAAGUCCCGCAACGAGCGCAACCCCUACUGCCAGUUACUAACAGGUUAUGCUGAGGACUCUGGCGGAACUGCCGGUGACAAACCGGAGGAAGGUGGGGAUGACGUCAAGUCAUCAUGGCCUUUAUAUCCAGGGCUACACACGUAAUACAAUGGUGAGUACAGAGUGAUGCGAAGCCGCGAGGUGGAGCCAAACGCAGAAAACUCACCGUAGUUCGGAUUGGAGUCUGAAACCCGACUCCAUGAAGUUGGAAUCGCUAGUAAUCGCGCAUCAGCACGGUGCGGUGAAUACGUUCCCGGGCCUUGUACACACCGCCCGUCACACCAUCCGAGUGGGGGGUACCCGAAGUCGUGAGUCUAACCGCAAGGAGGACCAUGCCGAAGGUACGUUCCGUGAGGGGGGUGAAGUCGUAACAAGGUAGUCGUACCGGAAGGUGCGGCUGGAUCACCUCCUU